This 75-nucleotide transfer RNA is filed under the name Sphaerodactylus townsendi. RNAcentral describes it as "tRNA-Ala". It matches the Rfam family "tRNA". From Rfam's summary of the family: Transfer RNA (tRNA) molecules are approximately 80 nucleotides in length. Lineage: Eukaryota; Metazoa; Chordata; Lepidosauria; Squamata; Sphaerodactylidae. The record is from RNAcentral.
GGAGGGGCCAUGGCUCAAUGGUAGAGCAUUUGCUUGGCAUGCAGAAGGGGCCAAGUUCAAUCCCCAGCACCUCCA